Molecule: non-coding RNA, 119 nt
Organism: Pteropus alecto (black flying fox)
Lineage: Eukaryota; Metazoa; Chordata; Mammalia; Chiroptera; Pteropodidae
Source: Rfam
GUCUACGGCCAUGCCACCCUGAACAAGCCCGAUCCCGUCUGAUCUCGGAAGCUAAGCAGGGUCGGGCCUGGUUCGUACUUGGAUGGGAGACCACUUAGGAAGACAAGAUGCUGUCAGCA